UACGUAGGUGGCAAGCGUUAUCCGGAAUUACUGGGCGUAAAGCGCACGCAGGCGGUCUUUUAAGUUUGACGUGAAAGCUCCCGGCUUAACUGGGAGAGGUCGUUGAAGACUGGAAGACUUGAGGCAAUGAGAGGGGUGUAGAAUUCCCGGUGUAGUGGUGGAAUGCGUAGAUAUCGGGGGGAAUACCAGUGGCGAAAGCGGCACCCUAGCGUUAGCCUGACGCUCAUGUGCGAAAGCGUGGGGAGCGAACGGGAUUAGAUACCCCGGUAGUCCACGCUGUAAACGAUGAACACUAGGUGUAGGUGAUGUGAAAGUUAUCUGUACCGAAGCCAACGCGUUAAGUGUUCCGCCUGGGGAGUACGGCCGCAAGGCUAAA
This 376-nucleotide ribosomal RNA is filed under the name uncultured bacterium. Its description in RNAcentral is "bacterial SSU rRNA". It matches the Rfam family "Bacterial small subunit ribosomal RNA", at positions 524 to 898 of the family's 1533-position model. The record is from RNAcentral.